GAGAGAGGACGAGAGAGGAAAGUAACGCUUUGCUUUCUCACUUCUUCUUCUUCUUCUUCGCUUUUCUUUUCUUUUUUUUUUUUCCC
This 86-nucleotide non-coding RNA is filed under the name Chloropicon mariensis. Lineage: Eukaryota; Viridiplantae; Chlorophyta; Chloropicophyceae; Chloropicales; Chloropicaceae. The record is from RNAcentral.